RNAcentral lists this ribosomal RNA (478 nucleotides) under uncultured bacterium. Its description in RNAcentral is "partial 16S ribosomal RNA". It matches the Rfam family "Bacterial small subunit ribosomal RNA", at positions 28 to 523 of the family's 1533-position model. The record is from RNAcentral.
GACGAACGCUGGCGGCGUGCUUAACACAUGCAAGUCGAACGGUAAGGCCCUUCGGGGUACACGAGUGGCGAACGGGUGAGUAACACGUGGGUGAUCUGCCCUGCACUUCGGGAUAAGCCUGGGAAACUGGGUCUAAUACCGGAUAGGACCACUGCCUGCAUGGGUGGUGGGGGAAAGCUUUUGCUGUGUGGGAUGGGCCCGCGGCCUAUCAGCGUGUUGGUGGUGUGAUGGCCUACCAAGGCGACGACGGGUAGGCGGCCUGAGAAGGUGACCGGCCACACUGGGACUGAGAUACGGCCCAGACUCCUACGGGAGGCAGCAGUGGGGAAUAUUGCACAAUGGGCGCAAGCCUGAUGCAGCGACGCCGCGUGAGGGAUGACGGCCUUCGGGUUGUAAACCUCUUUCAGCACCGACGAAGCGCAAGUGUCGGUAGGUGUAGAAGAAGGACCGGCCAACUACGUGCCAGCCGCCGCCGUAA